GACGAACGCUGGCGGCAUGCCUAAUACAUGCAAGUCGAGCGGAAUGAUGAGAGCUUGCUCUCUGAUUUUAGCGGCGGACGGGUGAGUAACACGUGGGCAACCUGCCCUACAGAUGGGGAUAACUCCGGGAAACCGGGGCUAAUACCGAAUAAUCAGUUUGUCCGCAUGGACAAACUCUGAAAGACGGUUUCGGCUGUCACUGUAGGAUGGGCCCG
Molecule: ribosomal RNA, 215 nt
Filed under: uncultured Bacillota bacterium
Lineage: Bacteria; Bacillati; Bacillota
Description: uncultured Firmicutes bacterium partial 16S ribosomal RNA
Rfam family: Bacterial small subunit ribosomal RNA
Source: RNAcentral